GAUGAACGCUGGCGGCGUGCCUAAUACAUGCAAGUCGAGCGAACGGACGAGAAGCUUGCUUCUCUGAUGUUAGCGGCGGACGGGUGAGUAACACGUGGAUAACCUACCUAUAAGACUGGGAUAACUUCGGGAAACCAUAGCUAAUACCGGAUAAUAUUUUGAACCGCAUUGUUCAAAAGUGAAAGACGGUCUUGCUGUCACUUAUAGAUGGAUCCGCGCUGCAUUAGCUAGUUGGUAAGGUAACGGCUUACCAAGGCAACGAUGCAUAGCCGACCUGAGAGGGUGAUCGGCCACACUGGAACUGAGACACGGUCCAGACUCCUACGGGAGGCAGCAGUAGGGAAUCUUCCGCAAUGGGCGAAAGCCUGACGGAGCAACGCCGCGUGAGUGAUGAAGGUCUUCGGAUCGUAAAACUCUGUUAUUAGGGAAGAACAUAUGUGUAAGUAACUGUGCACAUCUUGACGGUACCUAAUCAGAAAGCCACGGCUAACUACGUG
This 497-nucleotide ribosomal RNA is filed under the name uncultured bacterium. RNAcentral's name for it is "partial 16S ribosomal RNA". It matches the Rfam family "Bacterial small subunit ribosomal RNA", at positions 28 to 507 of the family's 1533-position model. The record is from RNAcentral.